This 497-nucleotide ribosomal RNA is filed under the name uncultured bacterium. Its description in RNAcentral is "partial 16S ribosomal RNA". It matches the Rfam family "Bacterial small subunit ribosomal RNA", at positions 28 to 507 of the family's 1533-position model. The record is from RNAcentral.
GAUGAACGCUGGCGGCGUGCCUAAUACAUGCAAGUCGAGCGAACGGACGAGAAGCUUGCUUCUCUGAUGUUAGCGGCGGACGGGUGAGUAACACGUGGAUAACCUACCUAUAAGACUGGGAUAACUUCGGGAAACCGGAGCUAAUACCGGAUAAUAUUUUGAACCGCAUGGUUCAAAAGUGAAAGACGGUCUUGCUGUCACUUAUAGAUGGAUCCGCGCUGCAUUAGCUAGUUGGUAAGGUAACGGCUUACCAAGGCAACGAUGCAUAGCCGACCUGAGAGGGUGAUCGGCCACACUGGAACUGAGACACGGUCCAGACUCCUACGGGAGGCAGCAGUAGGGAAUCUUCCGCAAUGGGCGAAAGCCUGACGGAGCAACGCCGCGUGAGUGAUGAAGGUCUUCGGAUCGUAAAACUCUGUUACUAGGGAAGAACAUAUGUGUAAGUAACUGUGCACAUCUUGACGUUACCUAAUCAGAAGGCCACGGCUAACUACGUG